GAGCAGGAGAAUGAAACUCCAUCGUUUAGGUUUCUCUAGUUCUCAAUCGCUUUCGACGUUACUGGGCUGUUUUAAUGUUAUAUUGGUAUGUAUAUUAAUGUUAUAAAUGCAUGUCUUUCCGUUAAAGUUAAGUGUUUUAUGUAUAUAUUUUUAGAAUUGAUCUAAUAUUAUUUUAUGUACAUGUUUUAUUGAUUUGCAUUUAUGGAAGUCUGGAUCUUAAUAUUUUGGAUAUUAAGUACGUUCGUUUUAGGACUCGGAAUCUUAAUUAUUAAGAUCAUUAUAAUGAAGUGUGUUUAUUUUUUUUAAUUCACAAUCACUUAAUGAGUCUGAAUAUGUGUGCAUGAUUAAGUUUAUAAUAUAGACUUAAUUUCAUUAAGAUGUUAUCAUUCAUUUUCAUUAUUAAUUGUUGGCACUGCUAACCCUUAUCAAUUACCACCAUACCACCACUACUACCUUACUCAACCAUCGCCACCACCAUCAUCCUCAAUCAUAGUCGCCACUAUUGUCGACUGUCCCCACCCACUACUCCCAUAACCAUCAUUAUCAACCACAACCAACACUCAUCCACCACAACUAACCACACCAUUACAUUAACAACCAUAGCUGGAAUUGUCCAUCAUUAUAAACUAUCACCACCUUCCUUAAUCACAACUGCCACCACCACUCGUUAUUAUUAGCUAUUACCCACUAUUACCAUCCUUAAUAAUAAUCACCGCUACUAUCAAUCACCACUAGCUACUAGCCUUCACCAACCACCACCUCUAGUCGGCAUUCACAAGCAUCAUCGUGAGCCUUGACCACCAGACACCAGCAACUACCAUCUUUUAAAAAAUUAUAUAUUUUAUUGAUAGAAUAUUAGAUUAAUUAGUAUUUCAUUUGAAUUUUAUGUUUAUUAAUUUUAAAUAAAAAUAAAUUUUAUAUAUUUAGAUGUCAAAAAAUCUUAAACAUUUAGUAUUUAUAUUCAGACGUCUUAAUCGUAUAAUCAAAUAAAUGAGGCCUAAAUAAUACACUUGGUUUAGUGCUAAGUUAUUUAUCCGAAAGAUAUAAGGAUCUAUUAGAUUGUGGUCAUAAAAGCUUGACACCAAGGACAAAGUUAGAAGUGUAAGUUAAUUACAAAGAAACGAUUCUUUCUAAAGAAAUAAAAACUGAAAUAGCAUCACAUAAACUUAAAUAAUACAAGUGCUACAGAAUAAUCUCAAAUCAAUUCGUCCAAAACCAAAUCCAAACACCUUUGAAGAAAAAACACACUUAAAAACAAGAACCAACACAAAACCAAACUCUCCUCAAGCUUGAUCUACUUAGCUGUUUCUUCUUUUGGACACACGUGGCGUGCACACAAAUUAAAAUUACCUGUAUAAAUCAUGGAUAUUUAUUUGAUGGUUCUGGUGGUGGUGGUGGUGGUAGCUGACGCGGAGGAGGGGGACUCCAAUGAAUAAUCAAAUUAGGCUUUGGUGGUGGUGGUGUGCUUCCCUUUUUCCUGUUUGAACUUCUGAGCUCUCCAGCAACUUUGAGUUGAGAAAAUAAUUCGUUGUUGGAAUAAUAUUGUAGGGAUCUUGCUUCCACACAAAGGCUUGAACUAAUGAGUAAGGAUAUUAGUAAACAUGAAAUUAAAUAUCGCCUCAUUGUCAGAUUCUGAAGAAUGGAAUCAAUGAGUUUUCUUGAAAACUAAGUGAGAAUUAUGCAUAGUUGAGAAGACAAGCAAUUUAGAGGAAUUUCCCCUUAGCUCACUUGUAGUGUUUAAACAUUUUAGUUAUUACAACUUGGGAAUAUUUUUGUUUGCAUUUUUGUUUGUUUUCCUGUGGAUCUUCUGAGAUCGUCAAAAUAACUCGUUAUUAAUUCUUUCUUGUUUUCCUGUGGAUCUUUUGCGUUUGACUUUUGUUUUACAUAUAGUCAAACUUAAUCUUAUUUUAUCAUUGUUCAUUUCACACUUCCGUAAUAACAAAAUACAUAAGUUGCUGCCUGAGAUAUGGACCAAAUUCUUCUUACACACUUUUUGACAGCAAAAAUUAUCUUAUAUAUUCAACCAUUCAAAAGUAUGUCAAAUAUACACCGUUUUUAACCAGGACAAAUAAAAACUCUAUCUGUGUAAUGCACGCAUUUGACUAUAGCUUAUUUAUAAUUAUUAAACCCGGCCCACUUGUUUCUAACUUAACCCUUAUAUUUAAUUUAACCCGACUCAUCCGUGUCUUUUCUUCCCCACCCCCAUGUUUCCCAUCCUUUCACAUCUCUAUCAUUUUUUCUUCUUCAAUUAGGACCCCUAAAUAUCAUGCUACUAUUAAAAGAAUAUCAUAAUAAUGGCUGAAAAUGGAUAUGGAGAUUUUGAUUUGGUACUUUUGAUUUUGAUUUGGUAAUUUGUGAUUGGUUUGCUAAUGUCGGUGGUGUUUGGGCUAAAGAAGCUACUAGUUAGAAUUUUUCUUCUGGUAAAAUUAUGCAAUGAUUCCUUCUCUAAAAAUCGGCAGCCAUGGCAGAUAGAACUCAAAAGAAAAUACUCAUCAAAAAAAUUUGGUGACAUACCCAAACUUUUCACAGGCUGGAGUUUCAAUUUCCGACCAGCAAAAGAAGAAAUAGAAGAGGGUCUCACUGAAAAUCCAUGGCAUUGGAAGCACGAGUGAAAAUGUGAAAGACCGAGGCGCUUAGGAGUCAAUCUCUUGCUCAA
RNAcentral lists this long non-coding RNA (2656 nucleotides) under Nicotiana benthamiana. RNAcentral describes it as "long non-coding RNA (NBEN_LNC028066)". Lineage: Eukaryota; Viridiplantae; Streptophyta; Magnoliopsida; Solanales; Solanaceae. The record is from RNAcentral.